This 324-nucleotide long non-coding RNA is filed under the name Musa acuminata (dwarf banana). RNAcentral's name for it is "long non-coding RNA (MACU_LNC003965)". The record is from RNAcentral. Lineage: Eukaryota; Viridiplantae; Streptophyta; Magnoliopsida; Zingiberales; Musaceae.
GACAGUCCAAUAUGUGAAGAAAUGAGUCCCGUUGUCCCCCUCCCGUUUAUGAUUAACCUGGACAUCCAGAAUAUACAUGUAGAGGUGGGUGAUACAUAUCUAUCUACACACCAUCUGCAACAUCACAAAAACAAGAAACAAGCCGGUCAUUACAUGCCAUCCAGCUGUUCAUGUAAUAUUUGGGCCCUUUUUCCCCCUUUGCUAAGGAUUGAUUUCGGAUUUCGGUGUAGUCAGGCUCGGACCACCCCCUCCGUUCAACCCAUUCGGACUAGUCGGGUCAUUGGGCUCCUCCAAAUUUGAUCUUGAUGGCCUUGCAAAGUUUUC